GGAGAUUCAGUUUGAUCAGAGGGGGAUGAUAUCAGGGGCUGCAAUUAGGACUUAUUUAUUGGAACGAUCCCGUGUUUGUCAAGUGUCUGAUCCCGAGAGAAACUAUCAUUGCUUUUACAUGCUGUGUGCUGCUCCUCAAGAGGAUAUUAAGAAGUACAAAUUAGGAGACCCUAGAACAUUUCAUUAUCUCAAUCAAUCAAACUUCUAUAAGCUGGAUGGAGUGGAUGAAUCUAAUGAGUAUCUCACUACUAGGAGGGCCAUGGAUGUUGUUGGGAUAAAUGCUGAUGAGCAGGAUGCAAUAUUUCGAGUUGUGGCUGCAAUACUACAUCUAGGUAAUGUUGAGUUUACAAAGGGAGACGAAGUAGAUUCUUCUAUACCCAAGGAUGAUAAAUCUUGGUUCCAUCUCAAGACAGCAGCUGAACUUUUCAUGUGUGAUGAAAAGUCUCUUGAGGACUCCUUAUGCAAACGUGUCAUCGUGACUCGUGAUGAGAGCAUAACAAAAUCACUUGAUCCAGCUGCUGCUACUGUCAAUAGAGAUGCUUUAGCCAAAAUUGUCUACUCGAGGUUAUUUGAUUGGCUUGUGAACAAGAUUAACAACUCUAUUGGUCAAGACCCCAAUUCUAAAUCUUUGAUUGGUGUUCUGGAUAUAUAUGGAUUUGAGAGUUUCAAGACA
RNAcentral lists this unclassified non-coding RNA (673 nucleotides) under Hevea brasiliensis (rubber tree). The record is from RNAcentral. Lineage: Eukaryota; Viridiplantae; Streptophyta; Magnoliopsida; Malpighiales; Euphorbiaceae.